AAGUGGACAUGAUUGUCCAGUGAUCUGCAAAGCAGAGAUUAGGUAAGCUGGGCAAGAAAGAUCAGAUGGUGUAACCAUAGUUAUAGUCAAGCCAUAACUGUGGCAUCAGAUAGGUAACCAAAAAGCCUGUCCCAAAUAAAACAUCAUUUGCCCCUAGCGCAUGCACCCAAAGAAUACAAACUUAACAUAUCAGUCUCCACACGGUAAAUUUGCUGAUUAGUAAUUAGGAGAGUUAUCUAUACGUCAUAUGCACUACUCAAAGGAUUGAUAUUCCCAAUUUCACAAGUAUUAGUUAGUUCAUUCUAUCUGGUUAAAUCCCAUUGAAAGAGAAUGAUUUUGUUU
Molecule: unclassified non-coding RNA, 342 nt
Filed under: Hevea brasiliensis (rubber tree)
Lineage: Eukaryota; Viridiplantae; Streptophyta; Magnoliopsida; Malpighiales; Euphorbiaceae
Source: RNAcentral